This 918-nucleotide ribosomal RNA is filed under the name Staphylococcus sp. R-23207. RNAcentral's name for it is "bacterial SSU rRNA". It matches the Rfam family "Bacterial small subunit ribosomal RNA", at positions 28 to 927 of the family's 1533-position model. Lineage: Bacteria; Bacillati; Bacillota; Bacilli; Caryophanales; Staphylococcaceae. The record is from RNAcentral.
GAUGAACGCUGGCGGCGUGCCUAAUACAUGCAAGUCGAGCGAACAGACGAGGAGCUUGCUCCUCUGACGUUAGCGGCGGACGGGUGAGUAACACGUGGAUAACCUACCUAUAAGACUGGGAUAACUUCGGGAAACCGGAGCUAAUACCGGAUAAUAUAUUGAACCGCAUGGUUCAAUAGUGAAAGACGGUUUUGCUGUCACUUAUAGAUGGAUCCGCGCCGCAUUAGCUAGUUGGUAAGGUAACGGCUUACCAAGGCAACGAUGCGUAGCCGACCUGAGAGGGUGAUCGGCCACACUGGAACUGAGACACGGUCCAGACUCCUACGGGAGGCAGCAGUAGGGAAUCUUCCGCAAUGGGCGAAAGCCUGACGGAGCAACGCCGCGUGAGUGAUGAAGGUCUUCGGAUCGUAAAACUCUGUUAUUAGGGAAGAACAAAUGUGUAAGUAACUAUGCACGUCUUGACGGUACCUAAUCAGAAAGCCACGGCUAACUACGUGCCAGCAGCCGCGGUAAUACGUAGGUGGCAAGCGUUAUCCGGAAUUAUUGGGCGUAAAGCGCGCGUAGGCGGUUUUUUAAGUCUGAUGUGAAAGCCCACGGCUCAACCGUGGAGGGUCAUUGGAAACUGGAAAACUUGAGUGCAGAAGAGGAAAGUGGAAUUCCAUGUGUAGCGGUGAAAUGCGCAGAGAUAUGGAGGAACACCAGUGGCGAAGGCGACUUUCUGGUCUGUAACUGACGCUGAUGUGCGAAAGCGUGGGGAUCAAACAGGAUUAGAUACCCUGGUAGUCCACGCCGUAAACGAUGAGUGCUAAGUGUUAGGGGGUUUCCGCCCCUUAGUGCUGCAGCUAACGCAUUAAGCACUCCGCCUGGGGAGUACGACCGCAAGGUUGAAACUCAAAGGAAUUGACGGGGACCCGCACA